ACACGACUGCAAUACGAAACAUGGCAAUUAAUUAAUAUGACACCAAUUUAUAGCAUGUCUGUGAUUGUAAAACAACAAAGGAGUGUUUCUGUGUUGAGAUGGCUUCAAUCUGCCUAAAAUCAGAAGUAGCACAUGCCCAACUCAUAGAAGCUCUUAAAUGCUAGCUGUUUGCUUACCCCGAAUUCGACCAGUUUGAAUGCUCGCCGUAGCUCAUAUUGAUUACAUCGAUACGUCGUCCUUCGCGGCACAGCUCCAUCACCUUCAUGAUGCCGCGUACCAGCGCGGAACCUGUCUCCAUGGAGCCCAAGCGACCGUCGCCAAUGGUUAUGGACACAAUCUUGGCAUUGGGUGCAACACCAUCAAUGUCGCGAGAGCUGUGAUUGCCACUGGCAAUCGAUGCCACAUGCGUGCCAUGAGGAGCUGUCAAAUAAAAAUGGGUAUACUAUUUUGCUAUACCUUUAAUUGCUAGUCAACUUACAGCACAUGCCCACCACUUCCAGAACGUUGCCAUCGUCAUGCACAUUCACCGAAAUGGAGAGGAAAUCAUUGACAUUCUUUGUUUCGUGUGUGUUGGUAAAUUCGCCAAUGCGCAAUGCCUCC
This is a long non-coding RNA of Drosophila nasuta, 600 nucleotides long. RefSeq lists it as uncharacterized. The record is from RefSeq and is a predicted model, not a curated record. The transcript is spliced from 2 exons. Lineage: Eukaryota; Metazoa; Arthropoda; Insecta; Diptera; Drosophilidae.